RNAcentral lists this unclassified non-coding RNA (339 nucleotides) under soil metagenome. Its description in RNAcentral is "partial contains 5.8S ribosomal RNA, internal transcribed spacer 2, and large subunit ribosomal RNA". The stretch from base 1 to 120 matches the Rfam family "5.8S ribosomal RNA", at positions 35 to 154 of the family's 154-position model. The record is from RNAcentral.
GAUGAAGAACGCAGCGAAAUGUGAUACGUAGUGUGAAUUGCAGAAUUCAGUGAAUCAUCGAAUCUUUGAACGCACAUUGCACCUCUCGGUAUUCCGGGAGGUAUGCCUGUUCGAGCGUCAUUUGUACCCUCAAGCUCUGCUUGGUGUUGGGUGUUUGUUCCGCCUCUGUGUGUGAACUCGCCUCAAAACAAUUGGCAGCCGGCGUACUUGUUUCGGAGCGCAGCACAUUUUGCGAUCCAGAUCAACGUACAGCGGCAUCCAAGAAGCCUUAUUUAACGCUCUUGACCUCGGAUCAGGAAGGGAUACCCGCUGAACUUAAGCAUAUCAAUAAGCGGAGGA